Molecule: ribosomal RNA, 279 nt
Filed under: uncultured bacterium
Lineage: Bacteria
Description: partial 16S ribosomal RNA
Rfam family: Bacterial small subunit ribosomal RNA
Source: RNAcentral
UGCCAGCCGCCGCGGUAACACGGGGGGCGCAAGCGUUAUUCGGAAUUAUUGGGCGUAAAGGGCGCGCAGGCGGUCUUGUCCGUCAGGUGUGAAAGCUCGGGGCUCAACCCCGGAAGUGCACUUGAAGCAGCAAGACUUGAAUACGGUAGAGGAGAGAGGAAUUCCUGGUGUAGAGGUGAAAUUCGUAGAUAUCAGGAGGAACACCGAUGGCGAAGGCGGAUUCCUGGGCUGGUACUGACGCUGAGGUGCGAAAGUGUAGGGAGCAAACAGGAUUAGAUA